GCCUUCGUGGUGUAACGGUUAGCACAUUCGACGCAUAUUCGAGAGGUCCAGGUUCGAGUCCUUGCGAGGGCA
RNAcentral lists this transfer RNA (72 nucleotides) under Stegodyphus dumicola. RNAcentral describes it as "tRNA-Met". It matches the Rfam family "tRNA". Rfam says of the family: Transfer RNA (tRNA) molecules are approximately 80 nucleotides in length. Their secondary structure includes four short double-helical elements and three loops (D, anti-codon, and T loops). Lineage: Eukaryota; Metazoa; Arthropoda; Arachnida; Araneae; Eresidae. The record is from RNAcentral.